CAAAAAGCUCAAAGCGGAAAAAAGUUAGGUUGAAAAGAUGCAUAAGGGCUAAAAAGGGACAUAAGAAAAGGGGAAAAUGUUCAGUGGAACAAAAAGCUACAACGGUGCCAUUCGGUGAGAGUGUUCCAGCAGUCCAAAAUAUGUCCCCUAGUACAACAACUGUGCAAUUCGAAGAUGGUGCUGUAGCAGUCCCUAGUACUUUUUGCUAGAAGGAAGGGGUGCCUGAACAUGUAUGGCCAUCCAUAAAUUUUCUCGGUUGUUGAUGGUAAUAUUUAACAACGAUGACAUAAUUAUUCAGAUGAUAUUUCAUAAUAAAAAGAAUUCAAUUGUUGUUCUUUCCUCUUGUAGGGACCAAUCACCUAUGAUCUUACUGCUGAAUUUUAGUUUAAAAUCAGCACAGUUUGUUUUUUUGUACAACCUCGGAUGUUUGUCUUUGCAGAUGGAGAACAAUAUAAGCUUUUGUGUUGCCUUUCCACUCGCAGAUGGGGAAUAGUAUGAGCUUUUGGGUAGCCUCUAAAUUAUGGAUAGCUUUUGGUUUUUUGUGGCUGAAGUGUAAAGCCACUUGAGUGUUUGGUUUUCUCAACUGCCAUCACUGAGAUGAGAUCAUCAAUAUCAGUUGUAUAAAUUGGAGCAUGGUCAUUCUGGAAUCAAUACUAUCUGAAACUUGUUCGCUAAUUUCAUUCAUAUUUCACAAACUGGUACAAACAUCACAAUAGCACCAGAAUAUCAGUCUAGAAUUGAUCCACAAUCAUCAUACUCGAUAUUGAUCCACAAUCUCAAUCUAGAAUUGUUUCCUAUCUAAUCAGAAUACAUGUCUCUGUCGCCCUCCUAUGAAGCAGGUAGAGAGCUUCGUGGCUGUGCUCUCUUGAGUAAGGUCUGACGGCUCUGCAGCUAGUUUGGGCGUCAGGGGCAUCCACCGUAUUCGUGAGGAAGUCGAGAUCUCACAACGGACCGUCGCUCGAGCACUCCAUGGAGGCAGUCUGCAGAUGAACGAAGAACAGUCAUGCCUGCUUUCGGGGGGAAAAAAAAA
Long non-coding RNA from Zea mays, 1030 nucleotides. RefSeq lists it as uncharacterized. The record is from RefSeq and is a predicted model, not a curated record. The transcript has 2 exons. Lineage: Eukaryota; Viridiplantae; Streptophyta; Magnoliopsida; Poales; Poaceae.